UUCCACAUUCACCAGAAUCCUGGAGCUGCUCCAAUGCUGUUACGACCUCGUUCAUUCUCGGUCUGAAUUUGGCUUCAGCAGACAAGCAUCGCAAAGCAAGGGUUGCGGCCUUGAAGGCAGCUUCCAUUGAAUACUGGCGUUCAAGACGGUUAUCUAGGACACGGAAUAUUUUGCGUUUGUUGGCCAGGUAUGGUUUGGCCCAUUCCACCAGGUUGUGUUCUCCGGAUGGUCGAUUCUUGUCAACUGCUCUGCGCCCAGAUAACAUCUCCAGCAGCACAACUCCGAAACUAUAGACAUCACUCCUAGCAGUCAAAUGACCU
This 320-nucleotide long non-coding RNA is filed under the name Gossypium barbadense (sea-island cotton). RNAcentral describes it as "long non-coding RNA (GBAR_LNC003696)". The record is from RNAcentral. Lineage: Eukaryota; Viridiplantae; Streptophyta; Magnoliopsida; Malvales; Malvaceae.